RNAcentral lists this transfer RNA (85 nucleotides) under Candidatus Thorarchaeota archaeon. RNAcentral's name for it is "tRNA-Pro". Lineage: Archaea; Promethearchaeati; Candidatus Thorarchaeota. The record is from RNAcentral.
GGGUCGGUAGUCUAGCUUGGUAUGAUUCUUGCUUGGGGAACAGGUUGGGUUUUCCAUCGUGUUGAGAAUCGCCCCCGGCCCACCA